UCUUCGCUAAUGUAAUCGAAGAGACAAAUAAAAGUUAUUAUUAUUAUUAUUAAUCACACCUACAGCUGUCAAACAUAGCAAACUCAUUAUUUAAUGUGGUGAAUGCAAUAUAUUUUGGCUCUGCUUGUUUGUAUAGACACCUAACAACAGGGUAAACCGAUUUUAGGCCUAAAAGAGGGGUCAAAACACAGACUCCUCCUUAUUGCCCUUGCAUAGUCCCCUGUCACAUAUGAAAUAAAGUAGACAAUAGAAGCAAUAUAUUUGUUACAGCGAGUUAUUAUAUUUUCAUCCAAUCGUUACUUCGUAUCCAUGUUUUGCUUAUUGUCAUGAUUACCCGGUCACAUGGGCAGUUCUUUGUUAUGAACCACGUUGUAUUAACAUAGAUACCUAAACAUAUAGAUACGAAACUGGCGAAAAAAGUUUAGACAGGUCACGCUUUAGUAAAUCCGUGCUAAUUCCGAUUUCUUAAUAGGGUUGAAUUGCAGUAUUAUGCAGAUUUUGACAGUUUGUUGUUUAUACAGACGCACAAAUACAGUAUUACAAAAAUAGCGCACUGCUGUAUUCGUGGUUGCUCUUAUGAGUGUGGGAGCAACAUUUCCAAACGUCCCUAUUUAAAAUGUUGGUAGCCGAUCUGGCCAAGCAUCAAGCAUGUAGAGAAGGCACCGUAAAGAACUGGCAGUGCAUUUUGUCUUACCGGAACUCUGAUCCCGCGAAAGGAGAAAGAUAUGUUGCACAGAGAAAGGCCAUCUAUCUGUGAGGCACAUUUUAAGCGAGAAGACAUCAAUGUACAGUCUACAUGUAAACAAUUAAAUUUGGUGUUGUACUUUUGUUGAACUUGCCUGCAAAAUUCAUUGCACCAAAUCCAUAUUGACCAAGCCAUUUAAUGUCCAUUCACUUGGGGUAAUUACAUUAAAUUCAAGUGUAACUUAGCUUAAAGCUUUCAGACCACUUACAAUGGCUUGUAGCCUACUUAUCCAAGCCAUUUUAUGGACCCACAUGCAGAAUUUGUACCACCUAGAAUAAAGAGAGUGUCAAAUGUUCAUAUUGAACUAAGUUGUAGAUGACUCUCCGCUCUCGGUUUGAAUGUAGGAAAGACUCUGCAUCAAGAUAUACCUACUCUGAUAGAAUUACAGAGUUGAUCUUACUGAUGGACAAGUAAUAAUUUCAAUCCCAACAUUUUACAGGUGGUGUAAAAUGAUUACUUGCUCUGUGAAUUAUUCUAUUUAUUCUGCAAAUGAUGAUCAUCUAGACUGGUUGAAUACGAAGUUUGUUCAAUAUCUUUUGGAUUGGCAAGUAAACGUUUAAAGAGGUUAGAUUUGGUGAAAGAUUAAUAUUAAAUAAUUGUGUUCUUAAGAGUAAGACUGAGGUGGUGCAUGAUCGUCCAGCCAAUGGUCUAAAUACAUCUGUAUUGGUAGUUUGGUAGCAAUUUGGUAUAUUCAGUCAGGAUGUCUUAGCAGCUAUCUUUAAAUAUUUUGUAAAUGAUCAUAACAAAAAACUUGCUGAAGCAUUAUUGCAAAGAUUUAUUUUUUUGAGAAACAUGAUAAGAAAAAACACUGAUCCAAUAUUUUGCAGGUUGGGUUGGGUGUGAAUGUGAUAUGGCAACGAGAAACGAUAAAACAAAUUAAGGUGAUAACACUUCUUACGGCACGAAAAUAGCUUAGACAUCUGUGAACAACUACUUUCAAUGAACAAUUACUUUGAAACAAAGAUUUUGCAAAAUUGUGACCGAACUUUUAUUUCCAUUAAAAAUGUAAAAAGUAUCA
This is a non-coding RNA of Ciona intestinalis (vase tunicate), 1763 nucleotides long. NCBI's taxonomy places the organism in Eukaryota, Metazoa, Chordata, Ascidiacea, Phlebobranchia, Cionidae. The record is from RefSeq and is a predicted model, not a curated record.